RNAcentral lists this ribosomal RNA (252 nucleotides) under uncultured bacterium. Its description in RNAcentral is "partial 16S ribosomal RNA". It matches the Rfam family "Bacterial small subunit ribosomal RNA", at positions 524 to 776 of the family's 1533-position model. The record is from RNAcentral.
UACGAAGGGGGCUAGCGUUGUUCGGGAUCACUGGGCGUAAAGCGCACGCAGGCGGAUCGAUAAGUCGGGGGUGAAAGCCCGGGGCUCAACCUCGGAAUUGCCUUGGAUACUGUCGGUCUCGAGUCCGGGAGAGGUGAGUGGAAUUCCUAGUGUAGAGGUGAAAUUCGUAGAUAUUAGGAAGACACCAGUGGCGAAGGCGGCUCACUGGCCCGGUACUGACGCUCAGGUGCGAAAGCGUGGGGAGCGAAUCGG